UCCUCCUCUUCUUCGGCGCGCGACCUCACCUGGCCCUCUUCUCCUCUCGUUUUUCGAUCACCGAAGACCAUCGCCACGCCUUGCCGUCGCCUCCACGCCACAGCGGAUUCCAGCCUCUCUUCCUCUCUCUCUCCUUUCGUCUUUGGCGAGCGCAGCUAUCGCAAGGAACCUGCGAUUUCGUCUGAUCGGAAAAUCAUGUCGCAGUUCACUCGAUUUUCUAGCGACUCCAAUACCAGCGAUUAGCGAUGAAGCUUCGGUCUCUUCCUUUCUCGCAUUCUCUCUUCUGUUUCCGGUUGGCGCAGUAAAACGAUGAGCUAAGAUCGCGAUUUGCUGCGUUUGGGACAGUCGACUCAUCGUUUCU
Molecule: long non-coding RNA, 361 nt
Filed under: Jatropha curcas
Lineage: Eukaryota; Viridiplantae; Streptophyta; Magnoliopsida; Malpighiales; Euphorbiaceae
Description: long non-coding RNA (JCUR_LNC000484)
Source: RNAcentral